GAUGAACGCUGGCGGCGUGCCUAAUACAUGCAAGUCGAGCGAACAGACGAGGAGCUUGCUCCUCUGACGUUAGCGGCGGACGGGUGAGUAACACGUGGAUAACCUACCUAUAAGACUGGGAUAACUUCGGGAAACCGGAGCUAAUACCGGAUAACAUGUUGAACCGUAUGGUUCAACAGUGAAAGACGGUCUUGCUGUCACUUAUAGAUGGAUCCGCGCCGCAUUAGCUAGUUGGUAAGGUAACGGCUUACCAAGGCAACGAUGCGUAGCCGACCUGAGAGGGUGAUCGGCCACACUGGAACUGAGACACGGUCCAGACUCCUACGGGAGGCAGCAGUAGGGAAUCUUCCGCAAUGGGCGAAAGCCUGACGGAGCAACGCCGCGUGAGUGAAGAAGGUCUUCGGAUCGUAAAACUCUGUUAUUAGGGAAGAACAAAUGUGUAAGUAACUAUGCACGUCUUGACGGUACCUAAUCAGAAAGCCACGGCUAACUACGUG
RNAcentral lists this ribosomal RNA (497 nucleotides) under uncultured bacterium. Its description in RNAcentral is "partial 16S ribosomal RNA". It matches the Rfam family "Bacterial small subunit ribosomal RNA", at positions 28 to 507 of the family's 1533-position model. The record is from RNAcentral.